AUGAGCAGGUUGAAGGUGCAGUAACAUGCACUGGAGGCCCGAACCGUUGCACGUUGAAAAGUGCUCGGAUGACCUGUGUCUAGGGGUGAAAGGCCAAUCAAACUUGCUGAUAGCUGGUUCUCUGCGAAAUCUAUUUAGGUAGAGCGUUAGAUGAAUACCAUCGGGGGUAGAGCACUGGAUGGGCUAGGGGGUCUCACCGACUUACCAAACCUAACCAAACUCCGAAUACCGAUGAGUAAUAUCUGGCAGACACACUACGGGUGCUAAGGUCCGUAGUGGAAAGGGAAACAGCCCUGACCGCCAGCUAAGGUCCCUAAGUUAUGGCUAAGUGGGAAAGGAUGUGAGAGUGCAUAGACAACCAGGAUGUUGGCUUAGAAGCAGCCAUCAUUUAAAGAAAGCGUAACAGCUCACUGGUCUAAAUAAGGGUUCCUGCGGCGAAAAUGUAACGGGGCUAAAGAUAUGCACCGAAGCUUAGGGUUGCAGUUUACUGCAGCGGUAGCGGAGCGUUCCGUAGGCGAGUGAAGGCGAAGGGUAACCGACGCUGGACGUAUCGGAAGUGCGAAUGCUGACAUGAGUAGCGAUAAUGCGGGUGAAAAGCCCGCACGCCGUAAGCCCAAGGUUUCCUGUUCAACGUUCAUCGGAGCAGGGUGAGUCGGCCCCUAAGGCGAGG
RNAcentral lists this ribosomal RNA (670 nucleotides) under Schmidingerella taraikaensis. Its description in RNAcentral is "partial Bacterial large subunit ribosomal RNA". It matches the Rfam family "Bacterial large subunit ribosomal RNA", at positions 736 to 1401 of the family's 2925-position model. The record is from RNAcentral. Lineage: Eukaryota; Ciliophora; Spirotrichea; Tintinnida; Rhabdonellidae.